UGGCGGAAGGGUGAGUAACACGUAAAUAAUCUGCCCUUAAGUUGGGAAUAACGACUCGAAAGAGACGCUAAUUCCGAAUGUGGAUAUAGUAUGGCAUCUUAUUAUAUCUAAAGGUGGGGACCUUCGGGCCUGCCGCUUAAGGAGGAGUUUGCGGCCUAUUAGCUAGUUGGUGGGGUAAGAGCCUACCAAGGCAAUGAUGGGUAGCCGUCCUGAGAGGGUGGUCGGCCACACUGGGACUGAGACACUGCCCAGACUCCUACGGGAGGCUGCAGUCGAGAAUCUUUCGCAAUGGGCGAAAGCCUGACGAAGCGACGCCGCGUGAGCGAUGAAGAUCUUCGGAUUGUAAAGCUCUGUCACAUGGGACGAACCGUAUGUAUGUUAAUAGCGUAUGUAUCUGACGGUACCAUGAGAGGAAGCCCCGGCUAACUUCGUGCCAGCAGCCGCGGUAAUACGAAGGGGGCAAGCGUUGUUCGGAUUUAUUGGGCGUAAAGGGCGUCUAGGUGGUUAAUUAAGUCGGAUGUGAAAUCCUUCAGCUCAACUGAAGAACUGCAUCCGAUACUGAUUAGCUUGAGUAUAGGAGAAGGGAGUGGAAUUCUCAGUGUAGCGGUGAAAUGCGUAGAUAUUGAGAAGAACACCGGUGGCGAAGGCGGCUCUCUAGCCUAAAACUGACACUAAAGCGCGAAAGCCAGGGGAGCGAACGGGAUUAGAUACCCCGGUAGUCCUGGCCGUAAACUAUGGGUACUUGGUGUAGGAGGUAUCGACCCCUUCUGUGCCGGAGUUAACACGUUAAGUACCCCGCCUGGGGAGUACGGCCGCAAGGUUGAAACUCAAAGGAAUUGACGGGGGCCCGCACAAGCGGUGGAGCAUGUGGCUUAAUACGACGCAACGCGUAGAACCUUACCAGGAUUUGACA
Molecule: ribosomal RNA, 913 nt
Filed under: uncultured bacterium
Lineage: Bacteria
Description: bacterial SSU rRNA
Rfam family: Bacterial small subunit ribosomal RNA
Source: RNAcentral